GACCGCUUGGCGCAAUGUUAGUGUGUUCGUCUCCAGACCGAUAGGUUGGGCGUUCGAUCCGCUCAGUGGUCA
This 72-nucleotide transfer RNA is filed under the name Angiostrongylus costaricensis. It matches the Rfam family "tRNA". Rfam says of the family: Transfer RNA (tRNA) molecules are approximately 80 nucleotides in length. Lineage: Eukaryota; Metazoa; Nematoda; Chromadorea; Rhabditida; Metastrongylidae. The record is from Rfam by way of RNAcentral.